This is a long non-coding RNA of Bombus pyrosoma, 803 nucleotides long. RefSeq lists it as uncharacterized. The transcript is spliced from 2 exons. The record is from RefSeq and is a predicted model, not a curated record. Lineage: Eukaryota; Metazoa; Arthropoda; Insecta; Hymenoptera; Apidae.
UAAUAAUAUAAUGUCAAUAAUAAAUGUUAAUAAUAAUAAUAAUAAUAAUAAUAAUAAUAAUAAUAAUAAUAAUAAUAAUCAUUCGUCACAAUAAUAAUAGCAAUAGUUUCGUAAUAAUAAUGACAAUUCAUCGUCGUCGGUAAUAAUCCAAUGACAAAUGUCAAUAGUCAUAUAGUAGCGUGUCGAACGGAGAAACGACCUUAAAAAACGAAGACAGUAUCAAUUGUUUGUUCGUACAUUUUGUUUUUUUUUUUUAUCUUUUAGCUUCCGUCGUCUUAUUCUUCUCGCUCGCGCUUUUUUCAUUUUUUUUAGUCUCUUCUUACCUCUCGCUCUCGCUCUUCCACACGCGCAUUCUCUCUCUCUCUCGACGUAUUUUUUUUUUUUUGAGUUUUCUUUCUCUCACACACACGCACACUUUCUCCCUCUGUCUCGUGUUUACACAAUUGAUGCAAAAUGUCCCUACACAGUCCGACGAAUGUGUGUGUGUGUACGUUUUUCCGAUCGAUCGAUUUUUUUCUUCCUCCGAGUCGUAGUGUGUUUGCUCGACGCUUUCUCUAUGAUAUUACUUUUGCUUUUUCCGCCUUUAUCCUCUUUGAAAUCCGCUAUUUUCCCUUGUAGCACGUGUUGACACAUUCACUCACAUUGGUUAAUCGGUUUGCUAGUGGAGGGACUAGGGUGGUAAUGUGAGGGGGUGUGCAGUUGGUGGAAGAUUAUCAGUGAGGAGUGCGGAAGGUAAGGUAUAAAGGUGGGGUUGGGUGUGGAUGACGUACGGGUGCUGGGAAAAGGAUUUGGGGAAAGGAGGC